RNAcentral lists this microRNA (21 nucleotides) under Picea abies (Norway spruce). RNAcentral describes it as "pab-miR3707". Lineage: Eukaryota; Viridiplantae; Streptophyta; Pinopsida; Pinales; Pinaceae. The record is from miRBase by way of RNAcentral.
AUGAUCUGCCAUUAUCCUUGA